This 478-nucleotide ribosomal RNA is filed under the name uncultured bacterium. RNAcentral's name for it is "bacterial SSU rRNA". It matches the Rfam family "Bacterial small subunit ribosomal RNA", at positions 69 to 540 of the family's 1533-position model. The record is from RNAcentral.
GCCCUCCGGUUGAUCCUGGCGGCGAGUGGCGGACGGGUGAGUAAUACUUGGGGAUCUGCCUGAUGGAGGGGGACAACCACUGGAAACGGUGGCUAAUACCGCAUGACGCCUACGGGCCAAAGUGUGGGACCUUCGGGCCACACGCCAUCAGAUGAACCCAAGCGAGAUUAGCUAGUUGGUGAGGUAGUAGCUCACCAAGGCGACGAUGCGUAGCCGACCUGAGAGGAUGAUCAGCCACACUGGGACUGAGACACGGCCCAGACUCCUACGGGAGGCAGCAGUGGGGAAUAUUGGACAAUGGGCGCAAGCCUGAUCCAGCAAUGCCGCGUGUGUGAAGAAGGCCUGCGGGUUGUAAAGCACUUUCAGUGGGGAAGAAAAGCCGCGGCUAAUACCCGGCAGUCCUGACAUUACCCACAGAAGAAGCACCGGCUAACUCCGUGCCAGCAGCCGCGGCAAUACGGGCUAGAGCGGCCGCCAC